CCGCCCGUCACACCAUGAAAGUCGCUUGUACCAGAAGUCGCUGUGCUAACCGUAAGGGAGAUAGCCGCCUAUGGUAUGACUGGUGACUGGGGUG
RNAcentral lists this ribosomal RNA (94 nucleotides) under uncultured bacterium. Its description in RNAcentral is "partial 16S ribosomal RNA". The record is from RNAcentral.